RNAcentral lists this long non-coding RNA (214 nucleotides) under Phoenix dactylifera (date palm). RNAcentral's name for it is "long non-coding RNA (PDAC_LNC004152)". Lineage: Eukaryota; Viridiplantae; Streptophyta; Magnoliopsida; Arecales; Arecaceae. The record is from RNAcentral.
UGAUCUUCGCGGUGUACGUCACCUCCAACGAAUAGCCAGCUGAUCACGAAUCGGCCCGAGACUUCAGGUAACAACCAUGACCCUCACCCUAUAAAAAGGGGUAGAGGAAGGCCUUCGGUAAGCCAUUAUAAGCACUCUUAAGUCAUAAGAGGCCAUCAAAGGCACUUAGAAACCUCUCCAAAAGCCCUGCUAACUUAGCCAUCGAAAGGCCUUC